UUUUGAUUUUAGCUCCACUGAUAUAAAAACCAGGAGAUAACAGAACUGGAGUUAUGGAAUCUAUACAAGACGGCAAUGGUCCAGGGACUCUCAUCUGUAUAUAUACACAACACACACUCAUUGGGGAUAUACAGCCGGAGCCCCCUAGAUAACCUGGGCCUCUUACAGGUGUAUUUGGCUGUAACCCCGUGAUCACUGCCCUGGAGGGUAUAUGAGGGUUAAUUUAUAAAACUGCUUUUAUUGUUUGGAGUGUUCCUUUAUGUGACAAACUCCCCUUUUCCUGUGAGUUUGCCACAAGUUUUUAGAGGAGCUUGUUUGCCAGCCACUUGCCCCAGGACUAUGGCCAAUGGAUUAGACCUGGCUUCAGCACUGUGGACAGGCUUUGUUCAUGCCUUUUCACCUCUGGGGUUCGGUAUAUGGGGCUACCGAAUGGAUUAUAUUUAUGGUGUUCGUUUACUGAACAAACAACCGAACAAUCGGACCACACACAAUUGGAGUGUGCAGCCCAUUUACCCCCCAGGCUGGGAGUUUCACAAGCGCUUAAUUGACGAACGGCUGGGUGGUCA
This is a non-coding RNA of Pelobates cultripes (western spadefoot toad), 566 nucleotides long. Lineage: Eukaryota; Metazoa; Chordata; Amphibia; Anura; Pelobatidae. The record is from the annotation of a GenBank genome assembly.